RNAcentral lists this ribosomal RNA (497 nucleotides) under uncultured bacterium. RNAcentral's name for it is "partial 16S ribosomal RNA". It matches the Rfam family "Bacterial small subunit ribosomal RNA", at positions 28 to 507 of the family's 1533-position model. The record is from RNAcentral.
GAUGAACGCUGGCGGCGUGCCUAAUACAUGCCAGUCGAGCGAACGGACGAGAAGCUUGCUUUUCUGAUGUUAGUGGCGGACGGGUGGGUAACACGUGGAUAACCUACCUAUAAGACUGGGAUAACUUCGGGAAACCGGAGCUAAUACCGGAUAAUAUUUUGAACCGCAUGGUUCAAAAGUGAAAGACGGUCUUGCUGUCACUUAUAGAUGGAUCCGCGCUGCAUUAGCUAGUUGGUAAGGUAACGGCUUACCAAGGCAACGAUGCAUAGCCGACCUGAGAGGGUGAUCGGCCACACUGGAACUGAGACACGGUCCAGACUCCUACGGGAGGCAGCAGUAGGGAAUCUUCCGCAAUGGGCGAAAGCCUGACGGAGCAACGCCGCGUGAGUGAUGAAGGUCUUCGGAUCGUAAAACUCUGUUAUUAGGGAAGAACAUAUGUGUAAGUAACUGUGCACAUCUUGACGGUACCUAAUCAGAAAGCCACGGCUAACUACGUG